Molecule: long non-coding RNA, 1053 nt
Organism: Oncorhynchus keta (chum salmon)
Lineage: Eukaryota; Metazoa; Chordata; Actinopteri; Salmoniformes; Salmonidae
Exons: 3
Source: RefSeq, a predicted model, not a curated record
CACACACCUCACACACCCUGCAUCAGUACAACACACACCUAAACUGUAAUCAACAGGUUCUCUACCUCCUAUGGACAGAAACUAUAAUCAACAGGUUCUCUACCUCCUAUGGACAGAAACUGUAAUCAACAGGUUCUCUACCUCCUAUGGACAGAAACUAUAAUCAACAGGUUCUCUACCUCCUAUGGACAGAAACUAUAAUCAACAGGUUCUCUACCUCCUAUGGACAGAAACUAUAAUCAACAGGUUCUGUACCUCCUAUGGACAGAAACUAUAAUCAACAGGUUCUCUACCUCCUAUGGACAGACACUAUAAUCAACAGGUUCUCUACCUCCUAUGGACAGACACUAUAAUCAACAGGUUCUCUACCUCCUAUGGACAGACACUGUAAUCAACAGGUUCUCUACCUCCUAUGGACAGAAACUAUAAUCAACAGGUUCUCUACCUCCUAUGGACAGAAACUAUAAUCAACAGGUUCUGUACCUCCUAUGGACAGAAACUAUAAUCAACAGGUUCUCUACCUCCUAUGGACAGACACUAUAAUCAACAGGUUCUCUACCUCCUAUGGACAGACACUAUAAUCAACAGGUUCUGUACCUCCUAUGGACAGACACUAUAAUCAACAGGUUCUGUACCUCCUAUGGACAGACACUAUAAUCAACAGGUUCUGUACCUCCUAUGGACAGACACUAUAAUCAACAGGUUCUGUACCUCCUAUGGACAGACACUAUAAUCAACAGGUUCUGUACCUCCUAUGGACAGAAACUGAUGGGAUUAGACUGGGUCGUUGCUGUCAGUAGCAGUGUGGGUAUAUUUGAGAUAUUUAGUCGGAGGUUAAUCAUUAACUGUCCUUGGAGCUGAACCUUCCUCCUGGUCCCACUGUGUUCAGAACGGUCUCUGAUGUCACCCCAUCUCCUGAAAAACACAAUGGUGCUGUCUGUGUGUGUGUGUGUGUGUCUCUCUGCGUGUAUCUCUCUGUGUGUGUGUCUUUGUCUCUCUGCGUGUAUCUGCGUGUGUGUGUGUUUGUGUGUGUGUGUGUUUUGUGUGUGUGUG